Molecule: ribosomal RNA, 381 nt
Filed under: uncultured bacterium
Lineage: Bacteria
Description: bacterial SSU rRNA
Rfam family: Bacterial small subunit ribosomal RNA
Source: RNAcentral
AUUGAACGCUGGCGGCAUGCCUUACACAUGCAAGUCGAACGGCAGCACGGGAGCAAUCCUGGUGGCGAGUGGCGAACGGGUGAGUAAUAUAUCGGAACGUGCCCGGUCGUGGGGGAUAACGUAGCGAAAGCUACGCUAAUACCGCAUACGAUCUACGGAUGAAAGCGGGGGAUCGCAAGACCUCGCGCGAUUGGAGCGGCCGAUAUCAGAUUAGGUAGUUGGUGAGGUAAAGGCUCACCAAGCCGACGAUCUGUAGCUGGUCUGAGAGGACGACCAGCCACACUGGGACUGAGACACGGCCCAGACUCCUACGGGAGGCAGCAGUGGGGAAUUUUGGACAAUGGGCGCAAGCCUGAUCCAGCAAUGCGCGUGCAGGAUGAA